GAGAAGUUAGCAUAGGAGAAGAAAAGAAGCGUGAAAGAGAGAAGGGGAGAAAAGAGAAGAAAAAAACCUAGAAUUUGAUCUUCAAGAGGUACAGGAGGUAGAGAUGUGGCUCAUGAGGAGUAGCUUCGGAGAGUCUUAGCUUAUGUUAUUAUUAUUAUUAUUAUUAUAAAAUAAGUGUCUUGCUCUGUAAUGUAACACUGGUUAGAUAUUUUACGUUACUUUUACAUUUAUGUUGAGAGGAUUUUAUAAUCUCUUCUUAUGGAAGUUGUUGAAUAAUUUUCUAAAUGAUGGCGAUGUCGUACUGUUGACGGCCGAAGUGCUUAUGAAAUUCAGUUCUGAGUA
Molecule: long non-coding RNA, 342 nt
Organism: Lotus japonicus
Lineage: Eukaryota; Viridiplantae; Streptophyta; Magnoliopsida; Fabales; Fabaceae
Exons: 2
Source: RefSeq, a predicted model, not a curated record